UUCAUGGGGAUCGCGAUCUCCCCAUGAGGCGACAGCCAAAGCUCGCGUUCCGUCACUGUUACACAAGGAACGCUUAUG
This is a regulatory RNA element of Pelagibacterium halotolerans B2, 78 nucleotides long. It matches the Rfam family "chrB-a RNA". Lineage: Bacteria; Pseudomonadati; Pseudomonadota; Alphaproteobacteria; Hyphomicrobiales; Devosiaceae. The record is from Rfam.